AGGCCAGCGCAUCAAACUUGACCAAUAGUGAAGAUAUUGGUCGAGAGCGUGAACCCAUGCCAUCAGCCUUAACCUAUAGGCAUUUUGACUGAGAAGCAUCCUUGCUCGCAGGAACGUCACCAAGUUAAUCUUCCCCAUUUCCCGUUCUCUCAUACCUGGUCAAUGAAAUAACCAGUCGCAAGCCAAUGAGUACUUUGAAUGUACUCACAAACAGCUCAUGAUGUGGAACAAGGUAAUAAAGGAACAUGAACUAGCAUAAGAAUGCAACCUUUGUGGAAAGAAGGUUUUUCUUUAAUUGGAGUAACAUGGUCAAGUGUAGGUAUAAUCAUGCAUCAUAAGGUAGAUGGUAAUAAUAAGAAUAGGUUACGGAUAUCAACAUAUCUGCUGAGGGCUGAACACCUCAGGUUCACCCUAUAUGCCAAGCCAGAGGACUUGACAAUAUCAUCUUUCUCAAC
Molecule: long non-coding RNA, 455 nt
Filed under: Hordeum vulgare
Lineage: Eukaryota; Viridiplantae; Streptophyta; Magnoliopsida; Poales; Poaceae
Description: long non-coding RNA (HVUL_LNC015766)
Source: RNAcentral